This 22-nucleotide microRNA is filed under the name Bombyx mori (domestic silkworm). RNAcentral describes it as "bmo-miR-2835". The record is from miRBase by way of RNAcentral. Lineage: Eukaryota; Metazoa; Arthropoda; Insecta; Lepidoptera; Bombycidae.
UCACACAUUAUGAGCUUUAGGA